RNAcentral lists this ribosomal RNA (490 nucleotides) under uncultured bacterium. RNAcentral's name for it is "partial 16S ribosomal RNA". It matches the Rfam family "Bacterial small subunit ribosomal RNA", at positions 29 to 507 of the family's 1533-position model. The record is from RNAcentral.
AGUGAACGCUGGCGGUAGGCCUAACACAUGCAAGUCGAACGGCAGCACGGGAGAGCUUGCUCUCUGGGUGGCGAGUGGCGGACGGGUGAGGAAUACAUCGGAAUCUGCCCAGUCGUGGGGGAUAACGUAGGGAAACUUACGCUAAUACCGCAUACGACCUUCGGGUGAAAGAGGGGGAUCGCAAGACCUCUCGCGAUUGGAUGAGCCGAUGUCGGAUUAGCUAGUUGGCGGGGUAAUGGCCCACCAAGGCGACGAUCCGUAGCUGGUCUGAGAGGAUGAUCAGCCACACUGGAACUGAGACACGGUCCAGACUCCUACGGGAGGCAGCAGUGGGGAAUAUUGGACAAUGGGCGCAAGCCUGAUCCAGCCAUACCGCGUGGGUGAAGAAGGCCUUCGGGUUGUAAAGCCCUUUUGUUGGGAAAGAAAUCUUUCAGGCUAAUACCCUGGGAGGAUGACGGUACCCAAAGAAUAAGCACCGGCUAACUUCGUG